This 516-nucleotide ribosomal RNA is filed under the name fungal sp. 1a-Bj5. RNAcentral's name for it is "SSU rRNA". It matches the Rfam family "Eukaryotic small subunit ribosomal RNA", at positions 214 to 730 of the family's 1831-position model. Lineage: Eukaryota; Fungi. The record is from RNAcentral.
AUAAAAAACCAACGCCCUUCGGGGCUUCUUGGUGAUUCAUGAUAACUUUACGGAUCGCAUGGCCUUGCGCCGGCGACGGUUCAUUCAAAUUUCUGCCCUAUCAACUUUCGAUGGUAAGGUAUUGGCUUACCAUGGUUUCAACGGGUAACGGGGAAUUAGGGUUCGAUUCCGGAGAGGGAGCCUGAGAAACGGCUACCACAUCCAAGGAAGGCAGCAGGCGCGCAAAUUACCCAAUCCCGACACGGGGAGGUAGUGACAAUAAAUACUGAUACAGGGCUCUUUUGGGUCUUGUAAUUGGAAUGAGUACAAUUUAAACCUCUUAACGAGGAACAAUUGGAGGGCAAGUCUGGUGCCAGCAGCCGCGGUAAUUCCAGCUCCAAUAGCGUAUAUUAAAGUUGUUGCAGUUAAAAAGCUCGUAGUUGAAACUUGGGUCUGGCUGGCAGGUCCGCCUCACCGCGUGUACUUGUCCGGCCGGGCCUUCCUUCUGGAGAACCUCAUGCCCUUCACUGGGCGUGU